GGAACAGGCUGUUAACAACUUGUAACAAGCUUGAUGGCAUUAUCAGUCUUGUUACAAGGUUGUUCUAACAAGUCUGAUACAGUCAUGAUAUAACAAGAAUGUUACAAGGUUGACGACAUAACCUUGCAACAAGUCUGAUAAUAUCAACAAGGUUGUCGCAAGUUGUUAACAGCUUGUUCC
This is a non-coding RNA of Paramuricea clavata, 180 nucleotides long. NCBI's taxonomy places the organism in Eukaryota, Metazoa, Cnidaria, Anthozoa, Malacalcyonacea, Plexauridae. The record is from the annotation of a GenBank genome assembly.